Long non-coding RNA from Bufo gargarizans (Asiatic toad), 406 nucleotides. RefSeq lists it as uncharacterized. The record is from RefSeq and is a predicted model, not a curated record. The transcript has 4 exons. Lineage: Eukaryota; Metazoa; Chordata; Amphibia; Anura; Bufonidae.
GGCAAUUCUCAUUCCAAUACUCUGUAGGGCUGGGCAGUGGAUGGUGGAUGCUUUCUUUCCUCGGGCACACCUUGAGUCUUCCUCUGCAUAAUCUAAAGCUGGCAAUAAGGCCCGGUGUUGACUCCAACUUCCGAGGAGUGUGCAGUGGAGCCGAACGCCAGAAUGAACUGUGGUUACCCCGGCAUCUCUGAGGAGAUCUGCAAUAACAAAGGCUGCUGCUUUGACACCAAAAUCUAUGGAGUCGUCUGGUGUUUCCACCCGCAAGCUGAAGAAGAAUGCGAAUUAUAGAUAUGAAGAGUGGCUUCCAUGAGUCAUCGCUUGCACUUUCUGAUCAACCACAGCUGAAAUGCCACCAUUUUACACUGUAUGAAUAUACCGUUGUCGAAAUUCGAUCUCAGAUCAGAAC